This 1044-nucleotide ribosomal RNA is filed under the name uncultured bacterium. Its description in RNAcentral is "bacterial SSU rRNA". It matches the Rfam family "Bacterial small subunit ribosomal RNA", at positions 485 to 1529 of the family's 1533-position model. The record is from RNAcentral.
AAGAAGCCCGGGUAAACUACGUGCCAGCAGCCGCGGUAAGACGUAGGGGGCAAGCGUUGUUCGGAAUUACUGGGUGUAAAGGGUUCGUAGGCGGUGUGGCAAGUCGGGAGUGAAAUUUCUGGGCUUAACUCAGAAGCUGCUUCCGAAACUGCUGUGCUGGAGUGUGGGAGAGGCGCGUGGAAUUGCAGGUGUAGCGGUGAAAUGCGUAGAUAUCUGCAGGAACACCCGUGGCGAAAGCGGCGCGCUGGACCACUACUGACGCUGAGGAACGAAAGCUAGGGGAGCAAACAGGAUUAGAUACCCUGGUAGUCCUAGCCCUAAACGAUCAGGACUUGGGGUGCCACCCGUUCGGGUGUCGUCCCGGAGCUAACGCGUUAAGUCCUGCACCUGGGGAGUACGGUCGCAAGACUGAAACUCAAAGGAAUUGACGGGGGCCCGCACAAGCGGUGGAACAUGUGGUUCAAUUCGACGCUACGCGAGGAACCUUACCUGGGCUCGAAAUGCUUCUGACCAGCUGUAGAAAUACGGCCUUCCCGCAAGGGACAGGAGUAUAGGCGCUGCAUGGCUGUCGUCAGCUCGUGCCGUGAGGUGUUGGGUUAAGUCCCGCAACGAGCGCAACCCCUGCACGUAGUUGCCACUCGCAAGAGGGAACUCUACGUGGACUGCUCCGGAUAACGGAGAGGAAGGUGGGGAUGACGUCAAGUCCGCAUGGCCUUUAUGUCCAGGGCUACACACGUGUUACAAUGCAGGGCACAAACCGUUGCCAACCCGCGAGGGGGAGCUAAUCGGAAAAAACUCUGCUCAGUUCGGAUUGCAGUCUGCAACUCGACUGCAUGAAGCCGGAAUCGCUAGUAAUGGCGUAUCAGAUCGACGCCGUGAAUACGUUCCCGGGCCUUGUACACACCGCCCGUCACAUCACGAAAGUGAGCUGUACUAGAAGUCGCCGCGCUAACCGCAAGGAGGCAGGCGCCCAAGGUAUGACUCAUGAUUGGGGUGAAGUCGUAACAAGGUAGCCGUAGGAGAACCUGCGGCUGGAUCACCUCG